GUGGCUAGUUCUCUGACUAACAUUAAGCUUGGUUGUAUGCUUCUGAUGAUUGUGUAUGCUUAUUCCUUUUCACUUUCAUGAUUUUUCUUACUGAAGGAUUUAAACAUGCCUUUUUGAUUGUAUUGCAGCUCCAGGAGUGAAAGGGUCUGGAGUCAGUGGAGUAGUUUAUGCUUCUGAACCUUUGAAUGCCUGCAGCCCAUUAACAAUCAAAACAGUCAAUGGCCCUCCAUCUCCCUUUGCGUUAAUUAUAAGAGGCGGGUGCACAUUUGAUGAGAAAGUAAAAAAUGCACAGGAUGCUGGAUUCAAAGCUGCAAUCGUAUACGACAAUAAAAAUAGUGGGGUCCUGGUUUCAAGUAAUUUACCUUGUUACUCGCACUUGCUCCUUAUCCAUUGUUUUCUUAAUGCCACUUGC
Molecule: long non-coding RNA, 412 nt
Filed under: Sorghum bicolor (sorghum)
Lineage: Eukaryota; Viridiplantae; Streptophyta; Magnoliopsida; Poales; Poaceae
Description: long non-coding RNA (SBIC_LNC011517)
Source: RNAcentral